RNAcentral lists this ribosomal RNA (253 nucleotides) under uncultured bacterium. Its description in RNAcentral is "partial 16S ribosomal RNA". It matches the Rfam family "Bacterial small subunit ribosomal RNA", at positions 524 to 776 of the family's 1533-position model. The record is from RNAcentral.
UACAGAGGGUGCAAGCGUUAAUCGGAAUUACUGGGCGUAAAGGGUGUGUAGGUGGUUAGAUAAGUUAGGUGUGAAAGCCCUGGGCUUAACCUGGGAACUGCGCUUAAUACUGUUUAGCUAGAGGUUUGUAGAGGAUAGUGGAAUUUCCGGUGUAGCGGUGAAAUGCGUAGAUAUCGGAAGGAACACCAGUGGCGAAGGCGACUAUCUGGACAAAUACUGACACUGAUACACGAAAGCGUGGGGAGCAAACAGG